GCCACAUUUUUGUUACUAACCCUGACUAGAGUGUGGGUUUUGGCUCUUGUACCAAAACUCAGGAAGAAAACCUGCGACUACCAAAAUGUGUGGGCAUCCUGAAAUUUGCUUGCAGUUGGAGACCAGGGCCUCCCACAUGCUGGCAAGUGCUCUACCGCGGAGCUACUCUCUCCUCUCUGAAACUACCCUUGCAAAGCCAUGCCUAUACCUCGUACUCUGAGCAACUACUAUGAAUAUAACAAUAAGCAAUGUGUUAUCUAUUGUUACUGUCCUACUAGCCUGUUUUGAAACUGUUUUGUUGUUAUUUUAAUUUUUUUUCUCUUUAAAAUUACAAAAAAGAAUAUAUUCAGAAAUUGUAUUAAAAAUGUAAAAUUAUACCAUCAA
This is a long non-coding RNA of Cavia porcellus (domestic guinea pig), 384 nucleotides long. RefSeq lists it as uncharacterized. NCBI's taxonomy places the organism in Eukaryota, Metazoa, Chordata, Mammalia, Rodentia, Caviidae. The transcript is spliced from 2 exons. The record is from RefSeq and is a predicted model, not a curated record.